This 1142-nucleotide long non-coding RNA is filed under the name Mytilus galloprovincialis (Mediterranean mussel). The record is from RNAcentral. Lineage: Eukaryota; Metazoa; Mollusca; Bivalvia; Mytilida; Mytilidae.
GAUUUAGAUUUAUAUUUCAAAAUUUUAUUAUUUAUUUUAUUUUAUUUUUUGCAGAAAAAGUAAUAGGACAAUUUUAAAAUAAUCAAACAUGAUGUAUUCUGUUGGUUCUUCCAUCAUGUCUAUGUGUUCAGUUUUCAGUAAUUAUCAAAUUUGAUAUAAAAUCUUUGAGGCAUUGAUAAAUUGCAGAUAUUUUUUUGUAGAUUUGAAAAAUAAUGCAAUGCAAGUUUUGAAUAAUUUACAAUAGUGCUAGAUUUUUUAAUUGUUUAUCAUUGAAUAUUUUUAACUCAGUGCUUGGAUAUGGACAUAUUAUGGUUGUUAAUAUGAAAUAUAACAAAUGGCAAUAUGAGAUAGGAUUCUAUUGAGAAAAUGCUGAAUAGAAUAAUUAAAUAUAAUUGAAUGAAAUAUUAUGAGCUAUAUGUUUGGGACCAAAUACAGUAGAAUAAAAUAUUAUAAAUAUGCAAGUUUAUGUCAAAAUUUUGUAGGAUAUGAAAUAUUUUACAAUCAAAAUUUUUUACAAUUUUAUCAUAGAUAUAGACAGCUAUGCAAAUUACAAUUUUUGUAUAUGUAUCAAUAAUUGUUAAAUCAGUUUAUUAUAGAUUUAAAUUAAUUCUAUUGAAAAACUAAUUUAUGAGAUGAAAAAUACUUCAAACAGAAAUUCAUUAAUGAUAAAAAAAAUUCAAACAUUUACAUUCCAUGUGAUCAUACCGAACCUGUUAACUCAGCAGUAUUUUGAUUUUUUACAAGCGACAAAAAUUGUUUCCCUAAGCAAGACUAGAGUAAAAAAUAAGCUUUGUUUAUGCAAAAAAUGACAUAAAAUGCAUUAAUAGGUUGGUAGUAAAACAUUGAUUUGUAUUGGCUUAUAGUUGUGUUUUGUGCAAUGAUUAAUUGCUAUGAAUGAAUGUACGUGUAUGUAAAUGAGGAUGAAAGAUUCUAUAUUAAGCAUGACAAAAGUUUGAUUUUAUAUAUAGUUGAAUACAAUUAGUAUUUGUUUAAGCCUAAAUGGGCUUAUUUUAUACAAAAUAAACAAGAAAUCUUAUUGAUAUUAUUUUUGUCCUUUGUGUGAAAAGACAAUUGUUUCAUUGGCUGUUAAUCUGUUAAUUGAAUAAAAAGAAGUGCCAAUGUGACAUCAGCAGAUGUCAAUG